RNAcentral lists this ribosomal RNA (465 nucleotides) under uncultured bacterium. Its description in RNAcentral is "partial 16S ribosomal RNA". It matches the Rfam family "Bacterial small subunit ribosomal RNA", at positions 28 to 507 of the family's 1533-position model. The record is from RNAcentral.
GACGAACGCUGGCGGCGUGCUUAACACAUGCAAGUCGAACGGAAAGGCCCUGCUUGCAGGGUACUCGAGUGGCGAACGGGUGAGUAACACGUGGGUGAUCUGCCCUGCACUUCGGGAUAAGCCUGGGAAACUGGGUCUAAUACCGGAUAGGAGCCAUUUUUAGUGUGAUGGUUGGAAAGUUUUUUCGGUGUAGGAUGAGCUCGCGGCCUAUCAGCUUGUUGGUGGGGUAAUGGCCUACCAAGGCGGCGACGGGUAGCCGGGCUGAGAGGGUGGACGGCCAAAUUGGGACUGAGAUACGGCCCAGACACCUACGGGAGGCAGAAGUGGGGAAUAUUGAAAAAUGGGCGCAAGCCUGAUGCAGCGACGCCGCGUGGGGGAUGACGGCCUUCGGGUUGUAAACUCCUUUCGCUAGGGACGAAGCUUUUUGUGACGGUACCUAGAUAAGAAGCACCGGCUAACUACGUG